AUCCUUUUAUAGUUCAUAAGUAUGAUGACUGGGUGUUUACGCCAUUGUAGGACAUGUGCCUCCCUCAAACCUUGUUAUGACCUUAGCACAUUACCCAUCUGACA
Small nucleolar RNA from Vulpes vulpes (red fox), 104 nucleotides. NCBI's taxonomy places the organism in Eukaryota, Metazoa, Chordata, Mammalia, Carnivora, Canidae. The record is from Ensembl.